This is a non-coding RNA of Tinamus guttatus (white-throated tinamou), 619 nucleotides long. NCBI's taxonomy places the organism in Eukaryota, Metazoa, Chordata, Aves, Tinamiformes, Tinamidae. The record is from RefSeq and is a predicted model, not a curated record.
GAAGAGUUGUGGAAACCAAUGGAUACGAAGCACUAGCACAGACUGUAACAUUUCUUCAAGAAAAGUAUCACAUCUGCUGACUUCGAAGGAACAUGCGCUUGAAACAAACAAACAAACACAUAAGUAAAAUCCAGAACAGGAACCAGAUCAACCAGGAUUUCUGAAGAGACACUGAUAUCACCACAGCGGCUUUUCUUCAAACAGGAGAUGCAAACCUGGAUGCUGACAAAGGAGUGCCUGUUUGCCACCAAGGAUGCAGUUACCAUGUGUGACCCAUGGUAGCAGUCACUGAGCAUCUUUAUCUGUCAUUCCUUAGCUAUAUAGGGACCAAAGGACAAAACUUUUUACCGCAGACUUGUAGCUGUAUGUAAAAUAUGGAAGUUCUUUCCUUUUCUCUGAGCUGUUCCUAAAACAGUUUUUGAGAGCGAUUAUAAGAAAUAUAUAAAAAUUAAAAAAAAAUGCUUAAAUGCUUUUAAAACGGCAAGAUAAUAGUUCUUUGAUACUUUGGGAGGUUAUUUGGUUAUACAUUAAUUAGAGUCUAUGAAGCUUUCAUAUGGUUUUCUGUAUAAUACGUAAGGAUUGCGCUGUUAAAGGCAGGUAAGAUGGAUAUCUAUGAAAA